RNAcentral lists this unclassified non-coding RNA (329 nucleotides) under soil metagenome. RNAcentral's name for it is "partial contains 5.8S ribosomal RNA, internal transcribed spacer 2, and large subunit ribosomal RNA". The stretch from base 1 to 120 matches the Rfam family "5.8S ribosomal RNA", at positions 35 to 154 of the family's 154-position model. The record is from RNAcentral.
GAUGAAGAACGUAGCGAAAUGCGAUAAGUAGUGUGAAUUGCAGAAUUCAGUGAAUCAUCGAAUCUUUGAACGCACAUUGCGCCCCUUGGUAUCCCGAGGGGCAUGCCUGUUCGAGCGUCAUUUCACCACUCAAGCCUGGCUUGGUGUUGGGCGACGUCCCCUUUGGGGACGCGCCUCGAAACUCUCGGCGGCGUGGCACCGGCUUUAAGCGUAGCAGAAUCUUUCGCUUUGGAAGUCGGGGCCCCGUCUGCCGGAAGACCUACUCGCAAGGUUGACCUCGGAUCAGGCAGGGAUACCCGCUGAACUUAAGCAUAUCAAUAAGCGGAGGA